This 202-nucleotide long non-coding RNA is filed under the name Carica papaya (papaya). Its description in RNAcentral is "long non-coding RNA (CPAP_LNC014740)". The record is from RNAcentral. Lineage: Eukaryota; Viridiplantae; Streptophyta; Magnoliopsida; Brassicales; Caricaceae.
UGUAAAAAUUAACCUAGAAAUGACAAAAUCAUCAAUUAGGUUUCAUUUGUCUUUGUUAGAAAAAACGAAAAGAUAGACUAGCUGAAUAUAAUAAUCUGUUCAAAUAUGAGAAGAAGAAGUAAAAGAGACGAAUUGAGAAACUCAAGUUUUGAUUUGUGGUUGAUGCUAAAAGCUUUCAAGUACAUGAGUAUUUAUAGGUACU